AACGAACGCUGGCGGCAGGCCUAACACAUGCAAGUCGAACGCCCCGCAAGGGGAGUGGCAGACGGGUGAGUAACACGUGGGAACAUACCCUUCGGUUCGGAAUAACUCAGGGAAACUUGAGCUAAUACCGGAUACGUCCUGGCGGAGAAAGAUUUAUCGCCGAAGGAUUGGCCCGCGUCCGAUUAGCUAGUUGGUGAGGUAAUGGCUCACCAAGGCGACGAUCGGUAGCUGGUCUGAGAGGAUGAUCAGCCACACUGGGACUGAGACACGGCCCAGACUCCUACGGGAGGCAGCAGUGGGGAAUAUUGGACAAUGGGCGCAAGCCUGAUCCAGCCAUGCCGCGUGAGUGAUGAAGGCCCUAGGGUUGUAAAGCUCUUUCGUCAGGGACGAUAAUGACGGUACCUGAAGAAGAAGCCCCGGCUAACUUCGUGCCAGCCGCCGCCGUAAU
This 448-nucleotide ribosomal RNA is filed under the name uncultured bacterium. Its description in RNAcentral is "bacterial SSU rRNA". It matches the Rfam family "Bacterial small subunit ribosomal RNA", at positions 29 to 524 of the family's 1533-position model. The record is from RNAcentral.